UCCUCAGCGCGUGCCGCAGGACGAUGUCGCGGAAGCGCACGCCCUUGAGCCGGGCGGUGCGGAUGUACUGGGCCGUCAUGACCUCGGCCAUCGACGCGCGGGUCAUCCGGGCGAUGUAGCCCAUGCCGUAGAGCGCGAUCGUCAUCACCGGCAGGGUGAAGUUGACGAAGGUGAUGU
RNAcentral lists this non-coding RNA (177 nucleotides) under Wenxinia marina DSM 24838. RNAcentral's name for it is "Ruegeria cis52 sRNA". It matches the Rfam family "Ruegeria cis52 sRNA". From Rfam's summary of the family: Cis-encoded. Targets oligo/dipeptide ABC transporter. Functions in transport. The record is from Rfam by way of RNAcentral. Lineage: Bacteria; Pseudomonadati; Pseudomonadota; Alphaproteobacteria; Rhodobacterales; Roseobacteraceae.